UGUAUGUGCGUGUGUGCGUGUGUGUGUGUGUAUGUGCGUGUGUGUGUGUGUAUGUGCGUGUGGUCACGGGUGUGUGUGUGCGUGUGUGUGUGUGUGUGUGUGUGUGUAUGGGUAUGGGUAUGGGUGUGUGUGUGUGUGUGUGUGUGUGUGUGUGUGUGUGUGUGUGGUCACUGUAGUGUAACAGAGGUUUUUGUACGACGGUUUCAUUAGAAUGUAUCACUGUGGUGGACUUUCGGUGGAGGAACCAAACUCAUCAUCUCCGGUCCCACGGUGAAGCCCUCCGUGUCUCUGCUCCCUCCCUCCUCUCUGCAGCUGUCUGAGGGAUCGGCCUCGCUGCUCUGCCUGCUGUCUGCCUACUCUCCACAGGGGGCGCUGGUGAGCUGGACGGUGGACGGCUCAGAGGUGAAGGACGGGGUUCUGACCAGCGCGGAAGAACAGAAGAAGGACGGUUACACACGCAGCAGCACCCUGACCCUCAGCAAAGCACUCUGGGAAAAGGGGGAGGAGUUUGUCUGUAAGGUCUCCCAUGACGGCGUCAAUCAUCCGGUCACGUUCAGAAAGAGCCAGUGUGAAGGCUAACAGCUCCAAGAUAGAAUUUAACACUGAGCUGCUUACACAUCCAUCUACAAUAGAGUUUCAAUUCUACACAAUGCUGACAUUUCUGUCUUUACUCUCUUCACUGUCCUGUUGCUCUUCCUGUAGUUUUGCUCUGCUGAAAUAAAGCUUGAUUUUGGA
Molecule: long non-coding RNA, 735 nt
Organism: Clarias gariepinus (North African catfish)
Lineage: Eukaryota; Metazoa; Chordata; Actinopteri; Siluriformes; Clariidae
Exons: 2
Source: RefSeq, a predicted model, not a curated record